Molecule: ribosomal RNA, 253 nt
Filed under: uncultured bacterium
Lineage: Bacteria
Description: partial 16S ribosomal RNA
Rfam family: Bacterial small subunit ribosomal RNA
Source: RNAcentral
UACAGAGGGGGCGAGCGUUGUUCGGAAUUACUGGGCGUAAAGGGCGCGUAGGUGGCCUGCUAAGUCGAACGUGAAAUCCCUGGGCUCAACCCAGGAACUGCGUCCGAUACUGGUUGGCUUGAAUCCGGGAGAGGGAUGUGGAAUUCCAGGUGUAGCGGUGAAAUGCGUAGAUAUCUGGAGGAACACCGGUGGCGAAGGCGGCAUCCUGGACCGGUAUUGACGCUGAGGCGCGAAAGCCAGGGGAGCAAACGGG